GAUGAACGCUGGCGGCGUGCCUAAUACAUGCAAGUCGAGCGAACGGACGAGAAGCUUGCUUCUCUGAUGUUAGCGGCGGACGGGUGAGUAACACGUGGAUAACCUACCUAUAAGACUGGGAUAAUUUCGGGAAACCGGAGCUAAUACCGGAUAAUAUUUUGAACCGCAUGGUUCAAAAGUGAAAGACGGUCUUGCUGUCACUUAUAGAUGGAUCCGCGCUGCAUUAGCUAGUUGGUAAGGUAACGGCUUACCAAGGCAACGAUGCGUAGCGGACCUGAGAGGGUGAUCGGCCACACUGGAACUGAGACACGGUCCAGACUCCUACGGGAGGCAGCAGUAGGGAAUCUUCCGCAAUGGGCGAAAGCCUGACGGAGCAACGCCGCGUGAGUGAUGAAGGUCUUCGGAUCGUAAAACUCUGUUAUUAGGGAAGAACAUAUGUGUAAGUAACUGUGCACAUCUUGACGGUACCUAAUCAGAAAGCCACGGCUAACUACGUG
This 497-nucleotide ribosomal RNA is filed under the name uncultured bacterium. RNAcentral's name for it is "partial 16S ribosomal RNA". It matches the Rfam family "Bacterial small subunit ribosomal RNA", at positions 28 to 507 of the family's 1533-position model. The record is from RNAcentral.